UACCUUGUUGAUCCUNCAGUAGUCAUAUGCUUGUCUCAAAGAUUAAGCCAUGCAUGUGUAAGUACAAGCCGAUGUAAGGUGAAACCGCGAAUGGCUCAUUAAAUCAGCUAUGUUUCAUUGGAUCUGUACCCCCACUUACUUGGAUAACUGUGGUAAUUCUAGAGCUAAUACAUGCACACAGAGUCCCCGACCGCAAGGGAGGGGCGCUUUUAUUAGUCCAAAACCGGUCGGGCCUCGGUCCGUAACCCACCUGUGGUGAAUCUGAAUAACUUUGAGCUGAGCGCACGGUCUCCGCACUGGCGCCGCAUCUUUCAAGUGUCUGCCUUAUCAGCUUUCGAUUGUAGGUUAUUCGCCUACAAUGGCUAUAACGGGUAACGGGGAAUCAGGGUUCGAUUCCGGAGAGGGAGCCUGAGAAACGGCUACCACAUCUAAGGAAGGCAGCAGGCACGUAAAUUACCCAUUCCCAGACUGGGGAGGUAGUGACGAAAAAUAACGAUGCGAGACUCAUCCGAGGCCUCGCAAUCGGAAUGAGUACACUUUAAAUCCUUUAACGAGGACCCAUUGGAGGGCAAGUCUGGUGCCAGCAGCCGCGGUAAUUCCAGCUCCAAUAGCGUAUAUUAAAGUUGUUGCGGUUAAAAAGCUCGUAGUUGGAUUACAGUUCCGGACUGACGGUUCACCGCCCGGUGCUUACUGUCACGCUCCGAACAGCCUGAAACAUGGCCCCGCCGGCUCGCCCGGGGUGCUCUUUACCGAGUGUCCCGAGUGGCGGGCAUGUUUACUUUGAAAAAAUUAGAGUGCUCAGAGCAGGCUACAUGAAUUGGCCUGAAUGUCUAUGCAUGGAAUAAUGGAAUAGGACCUCGGUUCUAUUUUGUCGGUUUUCUUCGGAACCCGAGGUAAUGACUAAUAGAAACAGGCGGGGGUAUUAGUACUGCGACGCUAGAGGUGAAAUUCUUGGACCGUCGCAAGACUAACAACUGCGAAAGCAUUUACCAAGGAUGUUUUCAUUAAUCAAGAACGAAAGUUAGAGGUUCGAAGGCGAUCAGAUACCGCCCUAGUUCUAACCAUAAACGAUGCUGACUAGCAAUCCGCCGGCGUUAUUCCCAUGACCCGGCGGGCAGCUUCCGGGAAACCAAAGUCUUUGAGUUCCGGGGGAAGUAUGGUUGCAAAGCUGAAACUUAAAGGAAUUGACGGAAGGGCACCACCAGGAGUGGAGCCUGCGGCUUAAUUUGACUCAACACGGGAAACCUCACCAGGCCCAGACACUGGAAGGAUUGACAGAUUGAGAGCUCUUUCUCGAUUCAGUGGGUGGUGGUGCAUGGCCGUUCUUAGUUGGUGGAGUU
Molecule: ribosomal RNA, 1340 nt
Filed under: Pylopagurus discoidalis
Lineage: Eukaryota; Metazoa; Arthropoda; Malacostraca; Decapoda; Paguridae
Description: SSU rRNA
Rfam family: Eukaryotic small subunit ribosomal RNA
Source: RNAcentral